RNAcentral lists this ribosomal RNA (292 nucleotides) under uncultured bacterium. Its description in RNAcentral is "partial 16S ribosomal RNA". It matches the Rfam family "Bacterial small subunit ribosomal RNA", at positions 505 to 796 of the family's 1533-position model. The record is from RNAcentral.
GUGUCAGCCGCCGCGGUAAGACGAAGGUGGCUAGCGUUGUUCGGAAUCACUGGGCUUAAAGCGCACGUAGGCGUCCUGUUAAGUGUCUUGUGAAAUCCCCCGGCUCAACCGGGGAACCGCUGGGCAUACUGGCAGGAUGGAGGCAGGUAUGGGUGCAUGGAACUCUUGGUGGAGCGGUGAAAUGCGUAGAUAUCAAGAGGAACGCCGGAGGUGAAGACGAUGCACUGGGCCUGUCCUGACGCUGAGGUGCGAAAGCCAGGGGAGCAAACGGGAUUAGAUACCCUCGUAGUCC